This 253-nucleotide ribosomal RNA is filed under the name uncultured bacterium. RNAcentral's name for it is "partial 16S ribosomal RNA". It matches the Rfam family "Bacterial small subunit ribosomal RNA", at positions 524 to 776 of the family's 1533-position model. The record is from RNAcentral.
UACGAAGGGGGCUAGCGUUGCUCGGAAUCACUGGGCGUAAAGGAUGCGUAGGCGGGUCUUUAAGUCAGGGGUGAAAUCCUGGAGCUCAACUCCAGAACUGCCUUUGAUACUGAAGAUCUUGAGUUCGGGAGAGGUGAGUGGAACUGCGAGUGUAGAGGUGAAAUUCGUAGAUAUUCGCAAGAACACCAGUGGCGAAGGCGGCUCACUGGCCCGAUACUGACGCUGAGGUGCGAAAGCGUGGGGAGCAAACAGG